Molecule: non-coding RNA, 453 nt
Organism: Pelobates cultripes (western spadefoot toad)
Lineage: Eukaryota; Metazoa; Chordata; Amphibia; Anura; Pelobatidae
Source: the annotation of a GenBank genome assembly
AUAAAUAUAUAUGAUUUACUAUAAUAUAGUAAGUUAUAAGUGGAUAGUGUGUAUAUGUAUAUAUAAUUAUGUAUACAUUUGUCUCUGGGUUAGUUACAUUCCAUCCCCCUUUCGCUGUUAGACAUCAUGCCUUAUCUUAGGUUUUGUUUACAUAAGUCGCAUUCCUUUGCACAGACUUUGGAUGAAUAGAGUAAUAGAGAGAGAAAUAUUGUGUCUGUCUUAGCCUUGUAAUACAAAAUGGAGUCACCUCUGUUCCGAGAGUGACUGUCAGUAUACACUUUUCAUUUCUGUCUUAACACAAAAUGUCUGCCGAUAUAAAUAUACUGACAGUAUCUAUUUCCACUUUUUCUAUCUUGCUUUGUAUUAAAAUGGAAUUCUGCUUGUAGUUUUGCUGUUUGCGGCUAGUUUCUCUUUCAUCAUAUUACAUUCUUUAUCUAAGAUAGCUAGCUGGUG